RNAcentral lists this unclassified non-coding RNA (253 nucleotides) under uncultured Bacillaceae bacterium. RNAcentral's name for it is "contains 16S-23S intergenic spacer region". It matches the Rfam family "Bacterial small subunit ribosomal RNA", at positions 524 to 776 of the family's 1533-position model. The record is from RNAcentral. Lineage: Bacteria; Bacillati; Bacillota; Bacilli; Caryophanales; Bacillaceae.
UACGUAGGUGGCAAGCGUUGUCCGGAAUUAUUGGGCUUAAAGCGCGCGCAGGCGGUCUUGUGAGUCUGAUGGGAAAGCCCCCGGCUCAACCGGGGAGGGUCAUUGGAAACUGGGAGACUUGAGUACAGAAGAGGAGAGUGGAAUUCCACGUGUAGCGGUGAAAUGCGUAGAUAUGUGGAGGAAAACCAGUGGCGAAGGCGACUCUCUGGUCUGUAACUGCCGCUGAGGCGCGAAAGCGUGGGGAGCGAACAGG